Molecule: ribosomal RNA, 413 nt
Filed under: Actinospica durhamensis
Lineage: Bacteria; Bacillati; Actinomycetota; Actinomycetes; Catenulisporales; Actinospicaceae
Description: Bacterial small subunit ribosomal RNA
Rfam family: Bacterial small subunit ribosomal RNA
Source: Rfam by way of RNAcentral
ACCUUACCAAGGCUUGACAUACGCCGGAAACACCCAGAGAUGGGUGCCCCCUUGUGGUCGGUGUACAGGUGGUGCAUGGCUGUCGUCAGCUCGUGUCGUGAGAUGUUGGGUUAAGUCCCGCAACGAGCGCAACCCUUGUCCCGUGUUGCCAGCAGGCCCCUCCGGGGGUGCUGGGGACUCACGGGAGACCGCCGGGGUCAACUCGGAGGAAGGUGGGGACGACGUCAAGUCAUCAUGCCCCUUAUGUCUUGGGCUGCACACGUGCUACAAUGGCCGGUACAAUGAGCUGCGAUACCGCGAGGUGGAGCGAAUCUCAAAAAGCCGGUCUCAGUUCGGAUUGGGGUCUGCAACUCGACCCCAUGAAGUCGGAGUCGCUAGUAAUCGCAGAUCAGCACUGCUGCGGUGAAUACGUU